RNAcentral lists this long non-coding RNA (1062 nucleotides) under Ursus americanus (American black bear). Its description in RNAcentral is "lncRNA (ENSUAMG00000017716.1)". The record is from RNAcentral. Lineage: Eukaryota; Metazoa; Chordata; Mammalia; Carnivora; Ursidae.
AUGAAUGAAAGGAUUCCCCUUGUUGCUUCGGCACAGUUCUUUCAGGAUUUAGUUGCUCAGACUGGCCUCUUUCUGGCGAGAGUAUUUCUUUUAUUCCUUGAAAUGCCUUCUAGAAAUGUCCCCCUAGCAUCUCUUGGCAAGGUGGGGCUGCAAAGGAUGAGUAGACCCAUCGACAAAGAGGCACUGGCCCAGGGACCCUGUAAGAGCCAUGGAAGGAAUCCAUCUCUACGCACCACUGUUUUGGCAAAGCCUGAAAGGCCCUGGGGAGACAUGGGCAGAGCAGGACAGGGAUGGGGCUGCAGCUGGGGAGUCUGUGGCUCUGGAACUCACAUUUCUCUGAGGCGGUCCCACCUGGCUGACUUCCAGGGCCCGGGGGACGGUGCGGCUGCCGGGGGGGGGGGCAGGCGGCGCUUACUGGUGGGGUACGGAUGCCUCAGUAAACCACCGCAGUUUGGUCUGCAAGGGAGGCGAGAACCAAGCAUGUUGACAGCCUCGCUGCUGGACCCUCCCUCUUGCUCAGGAACCAAAACAGAGGUCUGUGCCCAGGGAAAGGGAAAGUGCUGUGCAGAGGCGGCCUCGGCCUCCGGAAGGAAGCUGGGGGGGUGGGCAAAGAACCUGGGCCCAAUUUGCAGGGUCAAAGUCCUGCUGGACGUGCCCACGAAACAAAGACAAAGCCGGGGGUCGCUGGGACAUCUCACCCUAAGCUCAAAGCUGACAAAGACCGUGUUCUUGUUUUUCACUUUAGAUUCAACAAAAAAGUUUGAGGGACCCUGUGUCCACCUGCAAGGGAGGGAGACCAGUGCCCCGGCAUGCAGUCGUUUGGAGAGGCGAGUCAGCGCCAUUUGCCAGCUUCCCCACAUUAGCCUUCACCAUAUCAAGCACACGGAUUCUGUCAGUCGUCUUCCCCGGCCCUGCUUCCUGCUCCCCCUAGAGCCGCACCCUCCCGAGGAGGCUACGAAGUCCCCCCAGGAGCUCCAAAUCACGAAGACAAAGCUUGCCAAGAGGAGACCCAAGCCAGUUUUCCUGGCGUCGUCUGAAGGACGUUACCCAAGGCUGACGUGA